UACGUAGGGGGCAAGCGUUGUCCGGAUUUAUUGGGCGUAAAGAGCGUGUAGGCGGCCAGACAGGUCUGCUGUGAAAACUCGAGGCUCAACCUCGAGACGCCGGUGGAAACCGUUUGGCUAGAGUCCGGAAGAGGAGAGUGGAAUUCCCGGUGUAGCGGUGAAAUGCGCAGAUAUCGGGAAGAACACCCGUGGCGAAGGCGGCUCUCUGGGACGGUACUGACGCUGAGACGCGAAAGCGUGGGGAGCGAACAGG
This 253-nucleotide ribosomal RNA is filed under the name uncultured bacterium. Its description in RNAcentral is "partial 16S ribosomal RNA". It matches the Rfam family "Bacterial small subunit ribosomal RNA", at positions 524 to 776 of the family's 1533-position model. The record is from RNAcentral.